GAAAAUAGUUCUCCUGGGUGGUCCGACUCAUUAAUACACUCCGCACUUCUUGAUUUACGGCUCGCAGUUCAACUGCUGCUAAUUAACGUGAAAACACGUUCAAAAAAGAAAAAGAAAAGAGGAACAUACAGAGGAGGAGGAGGCCCCUGAGUCAGGAUGAACCUCCACAUGAAGCUUCCUAUUGAGGUCGUGUACUGUUGCACGGUACCCUGUGACCUUGUCAAAAGCAAUCACCGUGGUAACACACGGUUAAGUUUUCCUCUCAUCUUAAGACAUAAUCUCUUUAAUUGGUGUCAAAGUUGGGGUCCUUAUGGUGAAAGUCCUGAAAAUACCCACACAGACCGACACGCUCACUUGUUGACACUUAACAAAAAACCCCAAUGAAACAGGGUCUUGUCAAUGUGGUGCUGAAACUUGUUAAUCUAUAGUGGGGGGCGGUGGGGGUGUCACCGCAGGCCCUCCAGCCACUCCAGUCCGACAGGAUCUUUCGACUUAAGUCAGUCCCAUCUGACCUCUCAGACUAUUCAGCCCUUCCCCUUUACACCUGCACAGCUCUGAGGUAGAAUGACCGAAGAUUUGCUCUCUCACAGUUCUUACACCGCCGAGGAAGAAAUGUAUCUCAUUGUUUAAGAUCUCCAUGUUCAACUGUCAUUUUUUUCUUAUUGAGUAAUCACCAAUUCUUUCCUGUAUUGAUUGAUGAAUUGUUUUGUCUUUACAACGUUAGACAAUAGUAGAAAAAGACCAUUGCAUUUCCCCCAAAACAUGGAACUUUUUUCAAAUUGCAUGUUUUCUCCAACCAUCAAUUCAAGAUCUAAAUAAUUGUAAGAAAGAGAAAACCGAAAAUGUAAUCUGAAAAAAAAUCCAACUGCUAUAUGUUUAUAUAUAUAUAUUGCCAAUACUUGUAAAUGUCAACUUAUUUUAUUGUGAUUUGUUAACAAAUUUCUGCCAAGUAAUAAUAUUUUGAAGUCUGGUUG
Molecule: long non-coding RNA, 974 nt
Organism: Gasterosteus aculeatus aculeatus (three-spined stickleback)
Lineage: Eukaryota; Metazoa; Chordata; Actinopteri; Perciformes; Gasterosteidae
Source: Ensembl